This 333-nucleotide ribosomal RNA is filed under the name uncultured bacterium. RNAcentral's name for it is "partial 16S ribosomal RNA". It matches the Rfam family "Bacterial small subunit ribosomal RNA", at positions 338 to 688 of the family's 1533-position model. The record is from RNAcentral.
CCUACGGGAGGCAGCAGUGGGGGAUAUUGCACAAUGGGGGGAACCCUGAUGCAGCGACGCCGCGUGGGUGAAGGAGCGUUUCGGCGCGUAAAGCCCUAUCGGCAGGGAAGAAGAUGACGGUACCUGACCAAGAAGCCACGGCUAACUACGUGCCAGCAGCCGCGGUAAUACGUAGGGGGCAAGCGUUAUCCGGCUUUACUGGGUGUAAAGGGGGCGCAGACGGCAAUGCAAGGCAGGAGGGAAAGCCCGGGGCCCCACCCCCGGACCGGCCUUGGGACCGCCAGGCUGGAGUUAAGGUGGGGGCGGCGGAAAUUCCUGUGGAGGCGGUGAAUG